GAGCAAUUCGCUUGAGGAUGAGUCCACGCGAGAUUAGCUAGUUGGUGAGGUAACGGCUCACCAAGGCAGUGAUCUCUAACUGGUCUGAGAGGAUGAUCAGUCACACUGGAACUGAGACACGGUCCAGACUCCUACGGGAGGCAGCAGUAGGGAAUAUUGCGCAAUGGGGGAAACCCUGACGCAGCGACGCCGCGUGAGUGAUGAAGGCCUUCGGGUCGUAAAGCUCUGUCGUAUGGGAAAAAGAUCUG
Molecule: ribosomal RNA, 248 nt
Filed under: uncultured Bdellovibrio sp.
Lineage: Bacteria; Pseudomonadati; Bdellovibrionota; Bdellovibrionia; Bdellovibrionales; Pseudobdellovibrionaceae
Description: partial 16S ribosomal RNA
Rfam family: Bacterial small subunit ribosomal RNA
Source: RNAcentral